UGGGAUAUUCAUAUGAAUUGGCUAGUUGGUUCCUCUUCUUGUCUUGUUUUUGUAAAAAUGUUGUGUAUCUUGUCUCUUAGAUUUGUGUUCUGAACAGAGAGAAAAGAAAAGAGACGAGAUGAAAAAAAAAAGAAAAAAAUAUACAGACAAAUGAGAAAAAUUAAAAAAAAAGUUGUGAAUAAUGGAGUCAAGAAGAGGCUUGAAUUAGAGGGUUUGGGUGCUAUUUUACUGUGUUUACACUUGUUCUCCAUUGCUCAUCUAUUCCUUUUGGUUUGUAGCUUCUGAUCCAUAUUAUAUCCUCCCUUUUCCUUGGC
Molecule: long non-coding RNA, 314 nt
Filed under: Vigna radiata
Lineage: Eukaryota; Viridiplantae; Streptophyta; Magnoliopsida; Fabales; Fabaceae
Description: long non-coding RNA (VRAD_LNC017220)
Source: RNAcentral